AACACAUGCAAGUCGAACGCCCCGCAAGGGGAGUGGCAGACGGGUGAGUAACGCGUGGGAACAUACCCUUUCCUGCGGAAUAGCUCCGGGAAACUGGAAUUAAUACCGCGUACGCCCUACGGGGGAAAGAUUUAUCGGGGAAGGAUUGGCCCGCGUUGGAUUAGCUAGUUGGUGGGGUAAAGGCCUACCAAGGCGACGAUCCAUAGCUGGUUUGAGAGGAUGAUCAGCCACAUUGGGACUGAGACACGGCCCAAACUCCUACGGGAGGCAGCAGUGGGGAAUAUUGGACAAUGGGCGCAAGCCUGAUCCAGCCAUGCCGCGUGAGUGAUGAAGGCCUUAGGGUUGUAAAGCUCUUUCACCGGAGAAGAUAAUGACGGUAUCCGGAGAAGAC
This 391-nucleotide ribosomal RNA is filed under the name uncultured bacterium. Its description in RNAcentral is "bacterial SSU rRNA". It matches the Rfam family "Bacterial small subunit ribosomal RNA", at positions 50 to 489 of the family's 1533-position model. The record is from RNAcentral.